This 327-nucleotide ribosomal RNA is filed under the name Chlorobiota bacterium. RNAcentral's name for it is "Chlorobi bacterium (hydrothermal vent metagenome) partial 23S ribosomal RNA". It matches the Rfam family "Bacterial large subunit ribosomal RNA", at positions 2586 to 2925 of the family's 2925-position model. Lineage: Bacteria; Pseudomonadati; Chlorobiota. The record is from RNAcentral.
CAUUAAAGUGGCACGCGAGCUGGGUUCAGAACGUCGUGAGACAGUUCGGUCCCUAUCUGUUGUGGGCGUUGGAAAUUUGAGAGGACCUGACUCUAGUACGAGAGGACCGAGUUGGACAAACCGCUGGUGCAUCUGUUGUGCUGCAUAAGUGCAUUGCAGAGUAGCUAUGUUUGGAAGAGAUAAGCGCUGAAAGCAUCUAAGCGCGAAGCUCACCUCAAGAUGAGAUUUCCUUUAAGGGUCGUUAAAGACGAUGACGUUGAUAGGCUGCAAGUGUAAAGGUAGUGAUGCCAAAGCUGAGCAGUACUAAUUACCCGUAAACUUUCAUCA